UUGUUAUUGUUGUUGUGAUCAUGACAACGACGUCGCAGUGCUGCAGGAGGACCCGCCGUGCGCAUCGCAGCCGUGCGGCAACGGGGCGAGCUGCACGAACCGACUGCUCGGCGGCUUCGCGUGCGUCUGCGCCCACGGCUUCCUGGGGGCCACGUGCGAGCAAGAAGUGAACGAGUGCGUGUCCAGCCCGUGCCACGGGAGUGGCGAGUGCGUGGACCUGCCCGGGAGAUUCGCGUGCGUGUGUCGCCAAGGGCGCAGCGGGCAACGCUGCGAAUUCGGCACGGGUCCCAGGGAUGACGACGAGUGGGGUCUGUGUCAGCCAAACCCGUGCCACCACGGAGGCACGUGCCAGUCCAGCAGGCGACAAUUUCACUGCUUGUGCCCGCG
This is a long non-coding RNA of Lethenteron reissneri (Far Eastern brook lamprey), 387 nucleotides long. RefSeq lists it as uncharacterized. Lineage: Eukaryota; Metazoa; Chordata; Hyperoartia; Petromyzontiformes; Petromyzontidae. The record is from RefSeq and is a predicted model, not a curated record.